UCAACUAGGUGUUGGGGAAGGUGACUUCCUUAGUACCGCAGCUAACGCGUGAAGUUGACCGCCUGGGGAGUACGGCCGCAAGGUUAAAACUCAAAGGAAUUGACGGGGACCCGCACAAGCGGUGGAUGAUGUGGAUUAAUUCGAUGCAACGCGAAAAACCUUACCUACCCUUGACAUGCUUGGAACCCUGCUGAGAGGUGGGGGUGCCCGAAAGGGAGCCGGGACACAGGUGCUGCAUGGCUGUCGUCAG
Molecule: ribosomal RNA, 250 nt
Filed under: uncultured bacterium
Lineage: Bacteria
Description: partial 16S ribosomal RNA
Rfam family: Bacterial small subunit ribosomal RNA
Source: RNAcentral